UUUAACCUGAACAGGCAGACAGGAUCUCAGCUGUGUCCUACCAUUGGCAUCUGGAAUCCCCUGACUGUCCUUUAUCUGAGAGAGGAAACAAGCGGAACAGCAGAGCCCAUUGCAAGCGUGAGCUGGGACUUGACUGGUUUCUUCUCCACUGGCCCACGCCUCUCACUCCUCCUGGUCUGACCUCCUCUCAUUGGGGUAUGGUUCCACGGACAUGGGUUGCCCUUUGUUGUCGCUGAUGGCUUGUUUGAUAAAUCCUCAGCCAAAGGAACAAAAGGCAAAAUCCCGCAGAUGUUGGAAAUCUGAAAUAA
Callorhinchus milii (elephant shark) is the source of this 308-nucleotide long non-coding RNA. RefSeq lists it as uncharacterized. The record is from RefSeq and is a predicted model, not a curated record. NCBI's taxonomy places the organism in Eukaryota, Metazoa, Chordata, Chondrichthyes, Chimaeriformes, Callorhinchidae. The transcript has 3 exons.